UAAUGAAGCUUGCUAGUUAAGGAGCCCCCAGGAGGUGCUGGUGUGAGAUGGUUCUAUCUUUGCAGAGUUCUCUUCCCAGAGGACUUUGCCGAUCUCCGAUCCUCUUAAAGAACCAUCAGCCCUUUGCCUCUAUAUACAAAUUCAUCUGCACAGCCAAGACCGAAGGUUCCCUUGUGCAGCACCCUCACUUCACAGGUUAGCAAACUGAGGCCUAGAGAGACACCUGUUCAGUAUCACACUGCAUGCUGAUAUGCGGUUGACCAAUCCUGACCUUCCCAUUGUGUGCAUCCCCAGAAUGGGUCCUGGGACCCCCAAGCUUGGAGGAAGGAUGCAGAACCCUGAUGUGGCACUGAGGGCUCCAGGUGAGCAGGGGCAGGAGAUGAUCUGAACCAUCAGCCCUGAGCCUGCUUUCUCUUCCAGGGAGGCUCCGCACUCUCCCCGGCCGCCAUCAUCAGCCAUGAGAGGGCUCAGCAGCAGGCAAUUGCUUUGGCAAAAGAGGUCAACUGCCCCAUGUCAUCCAGCCAAGAAGUGGUGUCCUGCCUCCGCCAGAAGCCUGCCAAUGUCCUCAAUGAUGCCCAGACCAAGCUCCUGGCCGUGAGUGGCCCUUUCCACUACUGGGGUCCUGUGAUCGAUGGCCAGUUCCUCCGUGAGCCUCCAGCCAGAGCACUGAAGAGGUCUUUAUGGUUAGAGGUCGAUCUGCUCAUUGGGAGUUCUCAGGACGACGGGCUCAUCAACAGAGCAAAGGCUGUGAAGCAAUUUGAGGAAAGUCAAGGCCGGACCAGUAGCAAAACAGCCUUUUACCAGGCGCUGCAGAAUUCCCUGGGUGGC
Molecule: small RNA, 828 nt
Filed under: Pongo abelii (Sumatran orangutan)
Lineage: Eukaryota; Metazoa; Chordata; Mammalia; Primates; Hominidae
Description: retained intron
Source: RNAcentral